Molecule: long non-coding RNA, 1233 nt
Filed under: Nothobranchius furzeri (turquoise killifish)
Lineage: Eukaryota; Metazoa; Chordata; Actinopteri; Cyprinodontiformes; Nothobranchiidae
Description: lncRNA (ENSNFUG00015020584.1)
Source: RNAcentral
AUGGUCCCAGGAGGCGCACCGCAUCCACGCUCAGUGGGGUUCCUACUUUCUCCUUUCGAAGAAGUUCCACCUGUCCAGGUUCAGCGGUGGUGCCAGGGGUUGCACCACAUCCAUGUCCAGCGGUGGUCCCAGGGAGCGCAUCGCAUCCAUGUCCAGCGGUGGUUCCAGAGGCCGCACCACAUCCUCGUUCAGCAGAGAUUCCACCUUCGUCUUUCCAAGAGACUCCGCCUGUCCAGGUCCAGCGGUAAUUCCCGGAGCCGCACCACAUCCAUGUCCAGCGGGGGUUCCACCUCCAUCUGUCCGGUAGGCUUUGUCUGUCCUGUUCCAGCGGUGGUCCCCGAGUUCGCACCGCGUCCUGCUCCAGUGGUGGUUCCGGAGGUCGCAUCGCAUCCUGCUCCAGCGGUGGUCCUGGAGGUCGUGCCGCAUCCUGCCCCAGCGGUGGUCCUGGAGGUCGCGCCGCAUCCUGCCCCAGCUGUGGUCCCGGAGGUUGCACCGCAUCCUCUUCCUGCGGUAGUCCCGGAGGUCAUACCGCAUCCUGGUCCCAUGGUGGUCCCAGAGGUCGCAACGCAUCCUCUUCCAGCGGUGGUCCCAGGGUCCGCACCACAUCCAUGUCCAGCGGGGGUUCCACCUCCAUCUGUCCGGGAGGCUUCAUCUGUCCUGUUUCAGCGGUGGUCCCCGAGUUCGCACCGCGUCCUGCUCCAAUGGUGGUUCCGGAGGUCGCAUCGCAUCCUGCUCCAGCAGUUGUCCCGGAGGUCGCGCCGCAUCCUGCCCCAGCGGUGGUCCUGGAGGUCGCACCGCAUCCUCUUCCUGCGGUGGUCCUGGAGGUCGUACCGCAUCCUGAUCCCAUGGUGGUCCCGGAGGUUGCAACGCAUCCUGCUCCAGCAUUGGUCCCGAGGGUCACAUCGCAUCCUGCACCAGCGGUGGUCCCGGAGGUCGCACCGUGUCCUGUCCCAGUGGUGGUCCCGGAGGUUGCAUCGCAUCCUGCUAUGCGGUGGUCCAGGAAGUCGCACAGUGUCCUGCUCCAUCGUCAUGACUCCCAAUCUUUCAGCCUUCAUGCAGCACACCUGGUCCCCUCAUCAAGCUCCAGCUAAGCCCUGUUUCCCUAGCAACCUCAGUCUGCACCUCAUCAACUCCAUUCAUCUCACCUGUUCUUGUCAUCAGCCUCAUUUACCACAUCUGUUCCUCCUGCUUUAUAAGAACCAUCCAGCUAUCCAGUCACUGCCAGAUUAUUGA